RNAcentral lists this ribosomal RNA (256 nucleotides) under uncultured bacterium. Its description in RNAcentral is "partial 16S ribosomal RNA". It matches the Rfam family "Bacterial small subunit ribosomal RNA", at positions 524 to 776 of the family's 1533-position model. The record is from RNAcentral.
UACGAAGGGGGCUAGCGUUGCUCGGAAUCACUGGGCGUAAAGGGUGCGUAGGCGGGUCUUUUAAGUCAGGGGUGAAAUCCUGGAGCUCAACUCCAGAACUGCCUUUGAUACUGAGGAUCUUGAGUUCGGGAGAGGUGAGUGGAACUGCGAGUGUAGAGGUGAAAAUUCGUAGAUAUUCGCAAAGAACACCAGUGGCGAAGGCGGCUCACUGGCCCGAUACUGACGCUGAGGCACGAAAGCGUGGGGAGCAAACAGG